RNAcentral lists this ribosomal RNA (497 nucleotides) under uncultured bacterium. Its description in RNAcentral is "partial 16S ribosomal RNA". It matches the Rfam family "Bacterial small subunit ribosomal RNA", at positions 28 to 507 of the family's 1533-position model. The record is from RNAcentral.
GAUGAACGCUGGCGGCGUGCCUAAUACAUGCAAGUCGAACGGACAGACGCCGAGCGUGUUCUUCUGAGGUUAGCGGGUGACGGGCGAGUAACACGUGGAUAACCUACCUGUCAGUCUGGGAUGACUAAGAGAGAGCGAGUCCUGUUACGGCCAAUAUCUUUAAACGCGUGGCUUAAUUGUUAAAGACGGGUUUGCUGUCACUUAUAGAUGGACCCGCGCCGCAUUAGUUGGUUGGUAAGGUAACGGCUUAACAAGGCAAGGAUGGGUAGCCGAACUGAGAGGAUGGUCGGCCACACUGGAACUGAGACACGGUCCAGACUCCUACAGGAGGCAGCAGUCGAGAAUCUUACGCGAUGGAGCAAAAGCUGACGGAGCAACACCGGCUGAGUGCUGAAGGACCUCGGAUGGGAAAGCGCUGAUAGUAGGGAGAUACAAAUGUGUAGGUAACUAGGCCCGUAUUGACGGUACCUAAUCAGAAAGCCCCGGCUAACUACGUG